UACUGCUAUUUGAAGUUGCCAUCAAUUUCAAGGAUGAUAGACAUACAGCAUAAAUGUAUCGAAGACAAAAAAUAUCUUCUGAAUGCAGCCGUCAGCGAGCCAUUGAAUGUCCUGUAGCAAAGGUUUGCUUCCAAAUCCUUGGAUUCUCUCGUGUCCACUCCAUUUAGGACCUCCUCUGAGGAGAGAGUCCAGAGACAUGUGCAUGGAGGCUUCAGGAUGAACCUACCCUUACCUGAGCUCAGGAAAGCCUGUCCCCAAAACAGCCCAUAAGAAAGUCGCUGCUUUAUACACCCGCAAGUGCCAAAUGACUUUAAAAUAGAAAA
This 323-nucleotide long non-coding RNA is filed under the name Equus caballus (horse). Its description in RNAcentral is "lncRNA (ENSECAG00000053834.1)". Lineage: Eukaryota; Metazoa; Chordata; Mammalia; Perissodactyla; Equidae. The record is from RNAcentral.